Molecule: ribosomal RNA, 473 nt
Filed under: uncultured bacterium
Lineage: Bacteria
Description: bacterial SSU rRNA
Rfam family: Bacterial small subunit ribosomal RNA
Source: RNAcentral
ACUCCUACGGGAGGCAGCAGUGGGGAAUAUUGCACAAUGGGCGCAAGCCUGAUGCAGCCAUGCCGCGUGUAUGAAGAAGGCCUUCGGGUUGUAAAGUACUUUCAGCAGUGAGGAAGGUGGGUAUGUUAAUAGCAUACUCAUUUGACGUUAGCUGCAGAAGAAGCACCGGCUAACUCCGUGCCAGCAGCCGCGGUAAUACGGAGGGUGCGAGCGUUAAUCGGAAUUACUGGGCGUAAAGCGCAUGCAGGUGGUUUGUUAAGUCAGAUGUGAAAGCCCGGGGCUCAACCUCGGAAUUGCAUUUGAAACUGGCAAACUAGAGUACUGUAGAGGGGGGUAGAAUUUCAGGUGUAGCGGUGAAAUGCGUAGAGAUCUGAAGGAAUACCGGUGGCGAAGGCGGCCCCCUGGACAGAUACUGACACUCAGAUGCGAAAGCGUGGGGAGCAAACAGGAUUAGAUACCCUGGUAGGCGCUGC